UACGCUGCAUCAAGUUAUGUACAACAAAUAUCGACAUCUUUUUUUUUUUUUUGGUUAUUGAUAAUGAUUUUUUGGUUAUUAGUAAUAAUUUUUUUUCCGUCGUAUACUGCUCAUCAAUUGUUCGACUAACGACAAUUGAUGACUAUGAGGCGGAAGAUCGGAGGCCUACUUCUUGCACCAAAAUCGAAAUGUGUACUGUUGCGCGGUCGCGUAUGUGAAUGAAGAAUAUGUGGCACGGCGGUGCAUACGCCUUUCAAUUCUCUUGUUAUCUGUCUCUGCCACACCUCACAUGGCACAUGCAUUGCAUCUUUUGGGGUCCCCGGCCUUAAUAUACUGCCACUGUAAUCAUGGGUGAGACAAAGCCACUUUUAUAUUUUUCUUUUAAUGGAGUAUAUAACCGGCCACCAAAUCAAUGGUUUGAACAGGCAAAUAUUAUAAGUCAUUAUCAUACAGCUACCUUCAUUUUAGGCUAACAGCAAACUAAUUAAUCAAUUUAAUCUAAAAAAGUUUGGGGAUCAUAGCAUGAAACUCAAAACUAAUGAAAAAAAAUUUAGAAUAUAAAACCAAAAAUUAGUGGUUGAAUUUGUUGGAACUUUAGAACCCAGUAUGAGAAAGUUUAAUCAAGACUAUAGACUUAUUUGUAAUGUUAGAAUUUGACAAAAAAAAUAGGCACAUAAAAUCUAAAACCAGUAGUAACUAGUUGGAAUUUUAGAGCCCUCAUAUGAAAAAAAUUAACCAAAACUGAAUACUUAUCUAUAAUGUUAGAAUUUGAUGCAAAAAUAAGAAUAUGAAAGUUGGAAAUUUAGAUAAAAAUAAUGCGAAAGUUUAACUAAAAUUAAUACGGAUGAAAUUAACUUGUAAUAACCACCUAUUAUAUUGAUAUUUAACCAAAAGUAUAGGAAUAUGAUUUUUAUUUAUAAUUUUUUCACAAUUCAUUUUACUAUAAUUAAAAUAAAAAUAUUAAAAUAUUGUGUAUCAUUCAACAUUUUUUAUUAUUUAUAAUUUUCCUUAUUUUAAUAUCUUUUUUAUUUUUUUGGGCAGACACUAAAAAAAAUUAAAUUAAUGGACAACUGGUAAAUAAAUUUUAGUUCAACUUUUGUACCUGAACGAAUCAGAAGGCAAUUAUUUUGGAGCAACCACGUGUCAUAUUCACUCUAAAUGAGGCCCAGGCCCCUCCAUCGUCCUGAUCAACGCAUCUAGUAAUUCUAGUUCUUUUUAAGGCCUCUCCGCAUUUUGUUGUUAUUUUCGUAUUGUGAUGCAUACGUGUGCCUGUGUGCAUACGUGUGCAAAACUAGUUUCAGGGGAGAAUAUUCAUCUUCUUUUGAAAUCCUCAAGUAGAGCCCACCAUCUAGUUAUGGGCCGAAUUGAAUUGAAUCCAUCCAAACAAAAAACAGAUCACAUCGACGGC
Molecule: long non-coding RNA, 1408 nt
Filed under: Citrus maxima (pomelo)
Lineage: Eukaryota; Viridiplantae; Streptophyta; Magnoliopsida; Sapindales; Rutaceae
Description: long non-coding RNA (CMAX_LNC003230)
Source: RNAcentral